ACGGCUCAGUAACACGUGGNCAACCUACCCUCAGCACGGGGNUAAACCCGGGAAACUGGGUAUAAUACCCGAUAGUUCUGGGAAGCUGGAAUGCUAUCAGGACGAAAGCUCCGGCGACUGAGGAUGGGUCUGCGGCCUAUCAGGUAGUAGUGGGUGUAAUGUACCUACUAGCCUACGACGGGUACGGGUCGUGAGAGCGAGAGCCCGGAGAUGGAUUCUGAGACACGAAUCCAGGCCCUACGGGGUGCAGCAGGCGCGAAAACUUUACAAUGCUGGCAACAGCGAUAAGGGGACCUCGAGUGCCAGGAUACAAUCUUGGCUGUCGUAAUGCCUAAAAAGCAUUGCAUAGCAAGGGCCGGGCAAGACCGGUGCCAGCCGCCGCGGUAACACCGGCGGCUCGAGUGGUAACCGCUAUUAUUGGGUCUAAAGGGCCUGUAGCCGGCCGGAUAAGUCUUUUGGGAAAUCCAGCUGCUCAACAGUUGGGCUUUCAGAAGAUACUGUUCGGCUCGAGACCGGGAGAGGUGAGAGGUACUUCAGGGGUAGGGGUGAAAUCUUGUAAUCCUUGAAGGACCACCAGUGGCGAAGGCGUCUCACCAGAACGGAUCUGACGGCAAGGGACGAAAGCUAGGGGCACGAACCGGAUUAGAUACCCGGGUAGUCCUAGCCGUAAACGAUACUCGCUAGGUGUCGGCCACGGUGCGACCGUGGUCGGUGCCGUAGGGAAGCCGUGAAGCGAGCCACCUGGGGAAGUACGGCCGCAAGGCUGAAACUUAAAGGAAUUGGCGGGGGANCAC
Molecule: ribosomal RNA, 794 nt
Filed under: uncultured Methanosaeta sp.
Lineage: Archaea; Methanobacteriati; Methanobacteriota; Methanomicrobia; Methanotrichales; Methanotrichaceae
Description: bacterial SSU rRNA
Rfam family: Archaeal small subunit ribosomal RNA
Source: RNAcentral